RNAcentral lists this long non-coding RNA (724 nucleotides) under Physcomitrium patens. RNAcentral's name for it is "long non-coding RNA (PPAT_LNC001542)". The record is from RNAcentral. Lineage: Eukaryota; Viridiplantae; Streptophyta; Bryopsida; Funariales; Funariaceae.
UUAGUUAUUGAGGUUUAAAUCUGUUGUAGGAAUUACUAGGGUUUGGUUUAGGAUUUGGUUUAGGAUUUGGUUUAAGGUUUGAUUAGGGUUUGAUUUAGGAAUUAGGAAUUAGGAUUUGAAUUAGGGUUUGGUUUAGAAUUAGGAUUUGGUUUAGGAUUUAGGAUUUAGGGUCUAGAUUAGGAUUUGAUUUAGGGUUUAGGAUUUGAUUAGGGUUUGGAUUAGGAUUUGGUUAGGAUUUGGUUUAGGAUUUAGGAUUUGGAUUAGGAUUUGAUUUAGGAUUUAGGAUUUGGUUGGGAUUAGGUUUAAGGUUUGUUUAGGAUUUGAUUUAGGGUUUGGUUUAGGGUUUGAUUAGGGUUUAAGAUUUAGGGUUUAGAUUAGGGUUUGGUUUAGGUUUAAGAUUAGGGUUAGGAUUUGGUUAGGAUUCUAUUUAGGAUUUAGGAUUUAGGGCUGGAAUUAGGGUUUGGUUUAGGAUUUAGGAUUUGAUUGGAGUUUGAUUUAAGAUUUGUUUAGGAUUUGAUUUAGGGUUUAAGAUUUUAUUAGGAUUUAAGAGUUAAUUAGUUUGGACCUAAAGUUUGAAUGAAGUUCAAUAGGAUUUUAACUAGAAUUAAAUUAAGAUUGAAUUGAGAUGUAUUUGAAUGAUAUUUAUGAUCCUUCUAAUAUUUUUUUAAGAAUUCUUAUUGUUUGUUUGAAAUUUCUGUGAGAUUUUUUUGAAUUUGAUUAAGCU